Molecule: long non-coding RNA, 1227 nt
Filed under: Volvox carteri
Lineage: Eukaryota; Viridiplantae; Chlorophyta; Chlorophyceae; Chlamydomonadales; Volvocaceae
Description: long non-coding RNA (VCAR_LNC002734)
Source: RNAcentral
CGGAUUUCAGGAAGGCGCGCCCGUUUCCAGUGGCGACGGCAGCCCUUGCAGGUGGCAUAGCAAUUCUUGCUUUUGUCGUAAGGACCUCUAUCAAAAUGUUUCAAAACGUCGUCAACUGGCCUUCCACCCUUCUUCUGAGCAGAAACACAGUCAAUCUCUAUGACUUCGGCACCCCCCAGGUCGGAGCCAGUGGUUGUUGACAUUUGACUUAAUCUAAUAACUCCUUAGUGUAAAACGCAGUCUUUAAAUGGCAAACGCAUGCCUGGAAUCUGCUUUUGAAUUUCCGCCGUACAGCAAAUGCGGAAAUGCGGAUUCUCUUUCCGCAUUUCCGCCAAUCUGGGCUUCGCUGCGGAAAGCGUGACGAAACCUAUUUACGCAGGUUUCCGUUUACGCAGGUUUCCGUUUCGGCUCGUUCCCUGGUUACCGGCCGCCUUCCACCCGAAACCAUUUAGAUUGACGCUAAAAUAUCUUUCGAGUUUUUGCAAAAACAACUUCGGGUGGCUGCACUGGGGCCCUGGAAGCCGUGCUUCGCACGGAAUCAAAACCAUUUGGAUCACUACGGGGUACCUCAAUUUCCUCUGUAGGGCAAAGUAAAAAAUUCUCUAAAAUGUCUACUGGGACUCUGUUUUCGGUCACCGACUUGGGGGUCACCGACCUCUGCCAGCAGGGUCAGGCAUGCAAAAUGGAUGCAACACAACCAUGUGCACGCGAUAUGGGUCCUGUAACGCCGCUAAGGCGGCCCUUGGCUCACCGGGCCAACGGUAUCGUACCAACGGUACAUCCAAGAACUAUUCAUAAUCUUCCAAUACCAAACGGUAUUUAUCAAUACCACCUUUUAUCGUUGGAUAAUUUCCUUUUUCGCAACUGCUUGCCAACUGCAAGCUUUGUUACAAUUUUGGUAUCUGAGACCAACCGGUCAAACGACCUCGGAGUCAAGCACUCCAUCGCUUCCGCAAACACAUUCCAACUUAAGAAACAUUUUCUAUCUGACUUACAUGGCGAGCCCAGGGAAUACCAUGCGCACCCAGUCGGCGAAGGUCCAGCAAGCUGCAGCUCACGAAGGACUUUCUCCACCAAGUUUGCCGAUGCCCGUGAAGGGAACUACCCAAGCUAGCGCCACCAGCAGCUCAGUGCGCUAUCGAGAAAGCUUGCACAUCCGAUUUACUCUCAGCCACAAAGACUAGAAACACCGUUCUAAAGUCACUAUACAAACAACGCCUAUAUUAG